GGAAUAUUGGGCAAUGGAGGAAACUCUGACCCAGCCAUGCCGCGUGAGUGAGAAGGUCUUCGGAUUGUAAAGCUCUUUUGUGCGGGAAGAUGAUGACAGUACCGCAAGAAAAAGCACCGGCAAACUUCGUGCCAGCAGCCGCGGUAAUACGAAGGGUGCGAGCGUUGUUCGGAAUUACUGGGCGUAAAGGGUGUGUAGGUGGAUAUGUAAGAUAGCGGUGAAAUGCCGAAGCUCAACUUCGGAAUUGCCGUUAUGACUAUGUAUCUAGAGUGACAGAGAGGAUAUUGGAAUACCCAGUGUAGAGGUGAAAUUCGUAGAUAUUGGGUAGAACACCGGUGGCGAAGGCGAGUAUCUGGCUGUCAACUGACGCUGAGGCACGAAAGCAUGGGGAUCAAACA
Molecule: ribosomal RNA, 398 nt
Filed under: uncultured bacterium
Lineage: Bacteria
Description: bacterial SSU rRNA
Rfam family: Bacterial small subunit ribosomal RNA
Source: RNAcentral